This 460-nucleotide ribosomal RNA is filed under the name uncultured bacterium. RNAcentral describes it as "partial 16S ribosomal RNA". It matches the Rfam family "Bacterial small subunit ribosomal RNA", at positions 338 to 795 of the family's 1533-position model. The record is from RNAcentral.
CCUACGGGAGGCAGCAGUGAGGAAUAUUGGUCAAUGGGCGCGAGCCUGAACCAGCCAAGUCGCGUGAGGGAGGACGGCCCUACGGGUUGUAAACCUCUUUUGCCGGGGAGCAACGUGCGCCACGUGUGGCGUCACUGAGAGUACCCGGAGAAAAAGCAUCGGCUAACUCCGUGCCAGCAGCCGCGGUAAUACGUAGGAUGCGAGCGUUCUCCGGCUUUAUUGGUUUUAAAGGGUGCGUAGGCGGAUCGUUAAGUCAGUGGUCAAAUUGAGGGGCUCAACCCCUUCCCGCCAUUGAAACUGGCGGUCUGGAGUGAGAGAGAAGUAUGCGGAAUGCGUGGUGUAGCGGUGAAAUGCAUAGAUAUCACGCAGAACCCCGAUUGCGAAGGCAGCAUGCCGGCUUCCGACUGACGCUGAAGCACGAAAGCGUGGGGAUCGAACAGGAUUAGAUACCCCUGUAGUC